AUUGAACGCUGGCGGCAGGCCUAACACAUGCAAGUCGAGCGGAUGAAGGGAGCUUGCUCCUGGAUUCAGCGGCGGACGGGUGAGUAAUGCCUAGGAAUCUGCCUGGUAGUGGGGGAUAACGUCCGGAAACGGGCGCUAAUACCGCAUACGUCCUGAGGGAGAAAGUGGGGGAUCUUCGGACCUCACGCUAUCAGAUGAGCCUAGGUCGGAUUAGCUAGUUGGUGGGGUAAAGGCCUACCAAGGCGACGAUCCGUAACUGGUCUGAGAGGAUGAUCAGUCACACUGGAACUGAGACACGGUCCAGACCCCUACGGGAGGCAGCAGUGGGGGAUAUUGGACAAUGGGCGAAAGCCUGAUCCAGCCAUGCCGCGUGUGUGAAGAAGGUCUUCGGAUUGUAAAGCACUUUAAGUUGGGAGGAAGGGCAGUAAGUUAAUACCUUGCUGUUUUGACGUUACCAACAGAAUAAGCACCGGCUAACUUCGUG
Molecule: ribosomal RNA, 484 nt
Filed under: uncultured bacterium
Lineage: Bacteria
Description: partial 16S ribosomal RNA
Rfam family: Bacterial small subunit ribosomal RNA
Source: RNAcentral